This 1000-nucleotide ribosomal RNA is filed under the name Cronobacter sakazakii. RNAcentral's name for it is "partial 23S ribosomal RNA". It matches the Rfam family "Bacterial large subunit ribosomal RNA", at positions 1 to 1041 of the family's 2925-position model. The record is from RNAcentral. Lineage: Bacteria; Pseudomonadati; Pseudomonadota; Gammaproteobacteria; Enterobacterales; Enterobacteriaceae.
GGUUAAGCGAACAAGCGUACACGGUGGAUGCCCUGGCAGUCAGAGGCGAUGAAGGACGUGCUAAUCUGCGAAAAGCGCCGGUAAGGUGAUAUGAACCGUUAUAACCGGCGAUGUCCGAAUGGGGAAACCCGGUGCACUUCGGUGCAUCAUCGUUAGCUGAAUACAUAGGCUAACGAGGCGAACCGGGGGAACUGAAACAUCUAAGUACCCCGAGGAAAAGAAAUCAACCGAGAUUCCCCCAGUAGCGGCGAGCGAACGGGGAACAGCCCAGAGCCUGAAUCAGCUUGUGUGUCAGUGGAACGGUCUGGAAAGGCCGGCGAUACAGGGUGACAGCCCCGUACACGAAGGCACACAGGCUGUGAGCUCGAUGAGUAGGGCGGGACACGUGAUAUCCUGUCUGAAGAUGGGGGGACCAUCCUCCAAGGCUAAAUACUCCUGACUGACCGAUAGUGAACCAGUACCGUGAGGGAAAGGCGAAAAGAACCCCGGCGAGGGGAGUGAAACAGAACCUGAAACCGUGUACGUACAAGCAGUGGGAGCCUUCGUAAGAGGGUGACUGCGUACCUUUUGUAUAAUGGGUCAGCGACUUAUAUUCUGUAGCAAGGUUAACCGUAUAGGGGAGCCGAAGGGAAACCGAGUCUUAACCGGGCGUUAAGUUGCAGGGUAUAGACCCGAAACCCGGUGAUCUAGCCAUGGGCAGGUUGAAGGUUGGGUAACACUAACUGGAGGACCGAACCGACUAAUGUUGAAAAAUUAGCGGAUGACCUGUGGCUGGGGGUGAAAGGCCAAUCAAACCGGGAGAUAGCUGGUUCUCCCCGAAAGCUAUUUAGGUAGCGCCUCGUGAACUCAUCUCCGGGGGUAGAGCACUGUUUCGGCUAGGGGGCCAUCCCGGCUUACCAACCCGAUGCAAACUGCGAAUACCGGAGAAUGUUAUCACGGGAGACACACGGCGGGUGCUAACGUCCGUCGUGAAGAGGGAAACAACCCAGACCGCCAGCUA